Long non-coding RNA from Eucalyptus grandis, 1170 nucleotides. RefSeq lists it as uncharacterized. The transcript is spliced from 2 exons. The record is from RefSeq and is a predicted model, not a curated record. Lineage: Eukaryota; Viridiplantae; Streptophyta; Magnoliopsida; Myrtales; Myrtaceae.
UUCAUUUAAUCAAUUAUCUAGAUGAGCAAAGCAUGUCGACUUACACCACAAGUAACGUAUACUCCAAGGGGCCAUGAAUUCAUUUCGGCGUCUAAUGAAUUAUAUUUGCUGGAUUGAGAUUAUGCUUGCUGGUUGUGUAUUGUCUUGCUCGGCUGAUUGGUGUUGUAGUCUUAAUUUGCUCAGCUGGCUGUUUAUUUGCUGGAUUGAGAUUAUGCUUGCUGGUUGUGUAAAUCCCACUCUCUUCCGUACAGAGUAUUUAAGAGUCCGCGACAUAUUGGAAUUAAGCUCCAUAUUGGCUACACUGAUUACUCUUAAGCCCUAUCCUAUGAUAUUGGUACAGUGAACAAUAAUUGUAUAAAAAGCAUAGUGCAUCACAUUAUUGGUAUGAAUUUUUACUCGGUUUAUUCUAUCAGUAGACAAUAAAGGUUCAUUUGUUUAAAUGAAAUUCGUUCCCUCAUAAUUGUUAUCAGAUUUUUCGAGGUUUGGAUGACGGAAAACCAAUGGAUCUAUGGAAUAACAAACUUAGAUUGUGGGAAAACAACUUCCCAUUCUGGCAAGAAGGAGGUAUGCACCCUUCUAGGAAUAUUGGCGGCGAUGAAGAACAUUGCUUUAUGGGUCAUCUUCAUUAGAUAGCACUUGAGGUGUAUUUUGGGACACCUAGUACCGUCAUACUUCUUGUUGAACUAUGGCACCUUGAAGGUUUAGGGAAUUUUUUCACUCUUGAAUAGGGAGACAAGUUGUUGAGCCCUUACAUCUCAUGCCCUUACAACAAACACAACCGCUCUUCCAUUUUGGCAAGGCGUGUAGCACUCUUUUCUUCUAAAAGGAAGACAAGUUCUUCCUUCAGAGAAGGAUCAAGGUCCACUAUGAGAGGUGUGACCGAAGGGACUUCUCCAGCUACUUCCUUUCCAAUAAGGUCAAUAGUUGACGACUCAAGAAUGCAGACAGAACGGGCAUAAAUGUAGGGGGUUUUGGAUCCCCAGCAGUAGGUAGGACAGCGAAAGUCUUGAUUUGCUCGGAAAUUUCCGCCAGCAUUGUUGUAAUUUGAGCCAGCUGGUUCUCCACAUUCGUCAAUUGAAUGUUUGAAUCUUAGUUCUUCAUAUGUGCUCUUAAGCGAGUUCGAAUUGGAGAUCUUCUUUGGUCAUAAUUACUACCAAAGUACUUUUCUAA